RNAcentral lists this small RNA (24 nucleotides) under Arabidopsis thaliana (thale cress). The record is from RNAcentral. Lineage: Eukaryota; Viridiplantae; Streptophyta; Magnoliopsida; Brassicales; Brassicaceae.
UCUGGAACUCAGGGAGCAAGACCC